GACGAACGCUGGCGGCGUGCUUAACACGUGCAAGUCGAACGGAAAGGCCCUGCUUUUGUGGGGUGCUCGAGUGGCGAACGGGUGAGUAACACGUGAGUAACCUGCCCUUGACUUUGGGAUAACUUCAGGAAACUGGGGCUAAUACCGGAUAGGAGCUCCUGCUGCAUGGUGGGGGUUGGAAAGUUUCGGCGGUUGGGGAUGGACUCGCGGCUUAUCAGCUUGUUGGUGGGGUAGUGGCUUACCAAGGCUUUGACGGGUAGCCGGCCUGAGAGGGUGACCGGCCACAUUGGGACUGAGAUACGGCCCAGACUCCUACGGGAGGCAGCAGUGGGGAAUAUUGCACAAUGGGCGGAAGCCUGAUGCAGCAACGCCGCGUGCGGGAUGACGGCCUUCGGGUUGUAAACCGCUUUCGCCUGUGACGAAGCGUGAGUGACGGUAAUGGGUAAAGAAGCACCGGCUAACUACGUGCCAGCAGCCGCGGUGAUACGUAGGGUGCGAGCGUUGUCCGGAUUUAUUGGGCGUAAAGGGCUCGUAGGUGGUUGAUCGCGUCGGAAGUGUAAUCUUGGGGCUUAACCCUGAGCGUGCUUUCGAUACGGGUUGACUUGAGGAAGGUAGGGGAGAAUGGAAUUCCUGGUGGAGCGGUGGAAUGCGCAGAUAUCAGGAGGAACACCAGUGGCGAAGGCGGUUCUCUGGGCCUUUCCUGACGCUGAGGAGCGAAAGCGUGGGGAGCGAACAGGCUUAGAUACCCUGGUAGUCCACGCUGUAAACGGUGGGUACUAGGUGUGGGGUCCAUUCCACGGGUUCCGUGCCGUAGCUAACGCUUUAAGUACCCCGCCUGGGGAGUACGGCCGCAAGGCUAAAACUCAAAGGAAUUGACGGGGCCCCGCACAAGCGGCGGAGCAUGCGGAUUAAUUCGAUGCAACGCGUAGAACCUUACCUGGGUUUGACAUGGAUCGGGAGUGCUCAGAGAUGGGUGUGCCUCUUUUGGGGUCGGUUCACAGGUGGUGCAUGGCUGUCGUCAGCUCGUGUCGUGAGAUGUUGGGUUAAGUCCCGCAACGAGCGCAACCCUUGUUCACUGUUGCCAGCACGUUAUGGUGGGGACUCAGUGGAGACCGCCGGGGUCAACUCGGAGGAAGGUGGGGAUGACGUCAAGUCAUCAUGCCCCUUAUGUCCAGGGCUUCACGCAUGCUACAAUGGCUGGUACAGAGAGUGGCGAGCCUGUGAGGGUGAGCGAAUCUCGGAAAGCCGGUCUCAGUUCGGAUUGGGGCCUGCAACUCGACCUCAUGAAGUCGGAGUCGCUAGUAAUCGCAGAUCAGCAACGCUGCGGUGAAUACGUUCCCGGGGCU
Molecule: ribosomal RNA, 1346 nt
Filed under: uncultured bacterium
Lineage: Bacteria
Description: partial 16S ribosomal RNA
Rfam family: Bacterial small subunit ribosomal RNA
Source: RNAcentral